CCCAGACUCCUACGGGAGGCAGCAGUGGGGAAUAUUGGGCAAUGGGCGCAAGCCUGACCCAGCAACGCCGCGUGAAGGAAGAAGGCUUUCGGGUUGUAAACUUCUUUUGACAGGGAAGAGCAGAAGACGGUACCUGUCGAAUAAGCCACGGCUAACUACGUGCCAGCAGCCGCGGUAAUACGUAGGGAGCAAGCGUUGUCCGGAAUUACUGGGUGUAAAGGGAGCGUAGGCGGGAAUGCAAGUCAGAUGUGAAAACUAUGGGCUCAACCCAUAGCCUGCAUUUGAAACUGUAUUUCUUGAGUGCUGGAGAGGCAAUCGGAAUUCCGUGUGUAGCGGUGAAAUGCGUAGAUAUACGGAGGAACACCAGUGGCGAAGGCGGAUUGCUGGACAGUAACUGACGCUGAGGCGCGAAAGCGUGGGGAGCAAACAGGAUUAGAUACCCCGGUAGUA
RNAcentral lists this ribosomal RNA (450 nucleotides) under uncultured bacterium. Its description in RNAcentral is "bacterial SSU rRNA". It matches the Rfam family "Bacterial small subunit ribosomal RNA", at positions 330 to 795 of the family's 1533-position model. The record is from RNAcentral.